UAUCAUGAAGAGGACAACACAAACAACCAAUGCUUAUUCCUUCGUUAUAUGAACAAAGGAACUUAAGAAGAUUAGCAUAAUGACAAGGACACUUUUAGUGUUAUUAGUUCUUCACUUACAAAUCGUUGUAUGAAGAAAUAAUAGUUGCUUUGAACAACCCUUAGUCAAUGCAAACACUAGUGCUUGUUUCUUUGUUAAAUGAACAAAGAACUUGAGAAGAAAGCACAAAGGCAUGGACACUUUAUGUGCCAUGUUUCUUCACUUACAAAUUGUUGUAUGAAGAAAUGAGAGUUGCCUUGAACAACUCUUGAAGGUUUGUAAUUAUGUUUAGAACAUAAUGGUUGGUUGACAAAAAUAGUCCAUUAACAUGGACUUAUAAUGAUUUUGAAUCAUUAAGUGUUGAAGUGAUAAACCACUUAAUGAGACGGAAACUAGGCAAGGACUUCACCUAAGUGGCCCUAUCCUAAUGGUUCACUAAGUUUAUUGUAAACUAUGUAGUGAACAAUAACCACAUGCUCUCCAAAAAUGUUUGAUGUGUAUAACACAAUUGAAAUAAGUUUCAAGAGAGAUAGUGGGAGUUUAGGGACCAUGACUAUU
This 597-nucleotide long non-coding RNA is filed under the name Malus domestica (apple). Its description in RNAcentral is "long non-coding RNA (MDOM_LNC006866)". Lineage: Eukaryota; Viridiplantae; Streptophyta; Magnoliopsida; Rosales; Rosaceae. The record is from RNAcentral.